GGAUUAGAUACCCUGGUAGUCCACGCCGUAAACGAUGUCGACUUGGAGGUUGUGCCCUUGAGGCGUGGCUUCCGGAGCUAACGCGUUAAGUCGACCGCCUGGGGAGUACGGCCGCAAGGUUAAAACUCAAAUGAAUUGACGGGGGCCCGCACAAGCGGUGGAGCAUGUGGUUUAAUUCGAUGCAACGCGAAGAACCUUACCUGGUCUUGACAUCCACAGAACCUUGUAGAGAUACGAGGGUGCCUUCGGGAACUGUGAGACAGGUGCUGCAUGGCUGUCGUCAGCUCGUGUUGUGAAAUGUUGGGUUAAGUCCCGCAACGAGCGCAACCCUUAUCCUUUGUUGCCAGCGGUCCGGCCGGGAACUCAAAGGAGACUGCCAGUGAUAAACUGGAGGAAGGUGGGGAUGACGUCAAGUCAUCAUGGCCCUUACGACCAGGGCUACACACGUGCUACAAUGGCGCAUACAAAGAGAAGCGACCUCGCGAGAGCAAGCGGACCUCAUAAAGUGCGUCGUAGUCCGGAUUGGAGUCUGCAACUCGACUCCAUGAAGUCGGAAUCGCUAGUAAUCGUGGAUCAGAAUGCCACGGUGAAUACGUUCCCGGGCCUUGUACACACCGCCCGUCACACCAUGGGAGUGGGUUGCAAAAGAAGUAGGUAGCUUAACCUUCGGGAGGGCGCUUACCACUUUGUGAUUCAUGACUGGGGUGAAGUCGUAACAAG
RNAcentral lists this ribosomal RNA (720 nucleotides) under uncultured bacterium. RNAcentral describes it as "bacterial SSU rRNA". It matches the Rfam family "Bacterial small subunit ribosomal RNA", at positions 775 to 1495 of the family's 1533-position model. The record is from RNAcentral.